Molecule: unclassified non-coding RNA, 432 nt
Filed under: soil metagenome
Description: partial contains 5.8S ribosomal RNA, internal transcribed spacer 2, and large subunit ribosomal RNA
Rfam family: 5.8S ribosomal RNA (bases 1-120)
Source: RNAcentral
GAUGAAGAACGUAGCGAAAUGCGAUACGUAAUGUGAAUUGCAGAAUUCAGUGAAUCAUCGAAUCUUUGAACGCAUAUUGCGCUCUCUGGUAUUCCGGAGAGCAUGCUUGUUUGAGUAUCAGUAAACACCUCAACUUCCAUAUCUUUUUUGAAAUGGGAGUUGGACUUGAGUGAUCCCAACGCUUUUCCUCACCGAAAAGUGGCGGGUUACUUGAAAUGCAGGUGCAGCUGGACUUUUCUCUGAGCUAUAAGCAUAUCUAUUUAGUCUGCCUAAAAAACAGAUUAUUACCUUUGCUGCAGCUAACAUAAAGGAGAUUAGUUCUUGUGCUGACUGAUGCAGGAUUCACAAAGACAGCUUCGGCCGACUUUGUAAACUCGAUCUCAAAUCAAGUAAGACUACCCGCUGAACUUAAGAAUAUCAAUAAGCGGAGGA